Molecule: long non-coding RNA, 424 nt
Filed under: Homo sapiens (human)
Lineage: Eukaryota; Metazoa; Chordata; Mammalia; Primates; Hominidae
Description: HSALNT0115248
Source: RNAcentral
CACAGUGGUACUUAUUUUCCACAAAUAUUCCAGGAAUCAGAGAAAUCUAAAUACAGGUCAGAUGUAAAACAACAAUCAAAGCUGCUGAAUAUUAGAAGAAUUCCGAUGGCACGUUGGAGAAUCCAACUCAUGUUUUGAAUCCACUACAUCCCCCAGGGAUAUCUAUGGUCAGUACACAGCGUGGUAGGAAAAGUCCAAAACUUUGGAAAGAAAGAAAAAUCCUCCAUCAUUUACUAAUUGGGUGAGUUACUUGCGGUUAGCAGUUGAGCUGAACACAAUUCCCCCAUCUCUGGCAACUACUCCCAAUACACACGAUACCCGGUGGGCCCCGAUGCCAAGGCCAAAGGGGGAUUCUUAACCCAGACUGAGCCAGCCAGAUCUUCUUGUGCGCCCAAGUAUGCAUAUCAGAUUUUCCAGAAAUUGC